AAAAAACAUUUUCAAUUCAGGACUUCUACUUGUAACAGAGCAUUUUUACCGCGUGUUAUUAGUACUUUUACUUGAGUAAAGGAUCUGAGUACUUCUUCCACCGCUG
Long non-coding RNA from Etheostoma spectabile (orangethroat darter), 106 nucleotides. RefSeq lists it as uncharacterized. NCBI's taxonomy places the organism in Eukaryota, Metazoa, Chordata, Actinopteri, Perciformes, Percidae. The record is from RefSeq and is a predicted model, not a curated record. The transcript is spliced from 3 exons.